GGAAGGAUCAUUAUUGAAAUAAACCUGAUGGGUUGUUGCUGGCUCUCUAGGGAGCAUGUGCACACCUUGUCAUCUUUAUAUCUCCACCUGUGCACUUUUUGUAGACCUUUCAGGUCUAUGUUGCUUCAUUUACCCCAAUGUAUGUUAAUAGAAUGUUGUGCCUAUAUAAUAUAUACAACUUUCAGCAACGGAUCUCUUGGCUCUCGCAUCGAUGAAGAACGCAGCGAAAUGCGAUAAGUAAUGUGAAUUGCAGAAUUCAGUGAAUCAUCGAAUCUUUGAACGCACCUUGCGCUCCUUGGUAUUCCGAGGAGCAUGCCUGUUUGAGUGUCAUUAAUAUAUCAACCUUCUCUUUUUUGAGUUGUUUGGAUGUGGGGGUUUGCUGGCCUCUUAAAUGAUUCAGCUCCCCUGAAAUGCAUUAGCAGAACAACCUGUUCAUUGGCGUGAUAAUUAUCUAUGCUAUUGAAUGUGAGGGCAGUUCAGCUUUCUAACCGUCCUUGGACAAUUCAUCAUUAAUGUGACCUCAAAUCAGGUAGGACUACCCGCUGAACUUAAGCAUAUCAAUAAGCCGGAGGAAAGUGAGGACAGCCCUUUGAAUGUUUGAUCUCAAAUCAGG
RNAcentral lists this ribosomal RNA (613 nucleotides) under uncultured fungus. Its description in RNAcentral is "eukaryotic LSU rRNA". The stretch from base 177 to 330 matches the Rfam family "5.8S ribosomal RNA". The record is from RNAcentral. Lineage: Eukaryota; Fungi.